Molecule: long non-coding RNA, 228 nt
Filed under: Cucumis sativus (cucumber)
Lineage: Eukaryota; Viridiplantae; Streptophyta; Magnoliopsida; Cucurbitales; Cucurbitaceae
Description: long non-coding RNA (CSAT_LNC000538)
Source: RNAcentral
AAGAAAAUAACACAACUAAAUCCAAAUAGUCAUCAAACCAUCCUAGUUUUUCUAAUUUUAGUUUUUGAAAAUUAAGUUUUUAUAUUAAAUUUUGAAAAUAAAAAAUAUUUUUUUAAGAAAAAUCCCACCAAACGACAAAAACACUUAGAAAAAAAUAGUUUAUGAUACCAAUUUUUUUACAUAUUACGAAUAUGGUAAAAUUAGUGAUAUCAAAUGGCUAUCAGACGA